Molecule: unclassified non-coding RNA, 340 nt
Filed under: air metagenome
Description: partial contains small subunit ribosomal RNA, internal transcribed spacer 1, and 5.8S ribosomal RNA
Rfam family: Eukaryotic small subunit ribosomal RNA (bases 1-46)
Source: RNAcentral
AAGUCGUAACAAGGUUUCCGUAGGUGAACCUGCGGAAGGAUCAUUAUUGAAUACACUUGGUUAGAUUGUUUGCUGGCUUUUAUGAAGCAUGUGCACAUCUAAUCCAUUGUUAAACCCUUGUGCAUACUGUGUAGAUCUGAAAACAAUUUUGAGCCGCUAAAGGGCUCAGUCUAGAAAUUGCUGUGUGUAUAGCUUUAUAUUAUAAACCAGCUUUGUCUUGUGUUUUUUCUGGUCUAUGUCUCUAUAUAAUAUCCAAUUAUUGUAUUUUUGAAUGUACAAAUCAGGCACUAUAUUAUGUCUUGAAAUAAUAUAACUUUCAACAACGGAUCUCUUGGCUCUC